Molecule: ribosomal RNA, 764 nt
Filed under: uncultured Enterobacteriaceae bacterium
Lineage: Bacteria; Pseudomonadati; Pseudomonadota; Gammaproteobacteria; Enterobacterales; Enterobacteriaceae
Description: bacterial SSU rRNA
Rfam family: Bacterial small subunit ribosomal RNA
Source: RNAcentral
GACAGUACUGACGCUGAGAUGCGAAAGCGUGGGGAGCAAACAGGAUAGAUACCUGGUAGUCACGCUGUAAACGAUGUCGAUUUGGAGUUUGUUGCCUAGAGUGAUGGGCUCCGAAGCUAACGCGAUAAAUCGACCGCUGGGGAGUACGGCCGCAAGGUUAAAACUCAAAUGAAUUGACGGGGGCCCGCACAGCGGUGGAGCAUGUGGUUUAAUUCGAUGCAACGCGAAGAACCUUACCUGGUCUUGACAUCCAUAGAAUUCUGCAGAGAUGUGGGAGUGCCUUCGGGAACUAUGAGACAGGUGCUGCAUGGCUGUCGUCAGCUCGUGUUGUGAAAUGUUGGGUUAAGUCCCGCAACGAGCGCAACCCUUAUUCUUUGUUGCCAGCGAUUUGGUCGGGAACUCAAAGGAGACUGCCGUUGAUAAAGCGGAGGAAGGUGGGGACGACGUCAAGUCAUCAUGGCCCUUACGACCAGGGCUACACACGUGCUACAAUGGCGUAUACAAAGGGAAGCGAAGGUGCGAGCUGGAGCGGAUCUCAUAAAGUACGUCUAAGUUCGGAUUGGAGUCUGCAACUCGACUCCAUGAAGUCGGAAUCGCUAGUAAUCGUAGAUCAGAAUGCUACGGUGAAUACGUUCCCGGGCCUUGUACACACCGCCCGUCACACCAUGGGAGUGGGUUGCACCAGAAGUAGAUAGCUUAACCGCGAGGGGGGCGUUUACCACGGUGUGAUUCAUGACUGGGGUGAAGUCGUAACAAGGUAACCA